GACGAACGCUGGCGGCGUGCUUAACACAUGCAAGUCGAGCGGUAAGGCCCUUUCGGGGGUACGACGAGCGGCGAACGGGUGAGUAACACGUGGGUGACCUGCCUUUAGCUCUGGGAUAAGCCUGGGAAACUGGGUCUAAUACCGGAUAUGACUCCAUGAUGCAUGUUGUGGGGUGGAAAGCCUUGUGCGGCUGGAGAUGGGCCCGCGGCCUAUCAGCUUGUUGGUGGGGUGAUGGCCUACCAAGGCGACGACGGGUAGCCGGCCUGAGAGGGCGACCGGCC
Molecule: ribosomal RNA, 281 nt
Filed under: uncultured bacterium
Lineage: Bacteria
Description: partial 16S ribosomal RNA
Rfam family: Bacterial small subunit ribosomal RNA
Source: RNAcentral